CAGACAGACACACAGACGCACACACAGUGUCUGUCUCUGAGAUUUAGUAAUCUGAGACACCAGAACUGCAGAUUUUUUCAACACUGGCUUUUUUUCAGGUUCCUCUUUUUUGUUUUAGACAAUUGGAAAUAAAUGAUGUACUUUCUUGGGCACAAGUGGAUAUUUAUCUAACAACAGUAAUUUAACAACUCCUGACAAAGAACUCAUGCCAGCUGGAAGGCUCAAGUAAUUGUGAAACGUAUAUUCAAUAAAAGAGAGGGAAUCUACAAAGCAUUACUGUGACUGCUGCUAUCUGAUUUUUGAAGAUAUAGCUAAUUCUGCUACCACGUAUCAUAAUGCAUAUGAUGGCCCUUUAAGCAUCACGGUGUAGUGUCAGGUGGCACAUUAAAAGGUUGAUCAGUAAAAGAGUUCCUGGCAUCUGUUUGGUUGUCUGAUUGGUGGCUGCAUAUAAUGAAUACAAGUUUUUGCCCUUUAUUACCACACCCUUUUGAAAACAAAUGCCUACCUUAUCUUUGGGCUGAGACUGAAAUGGGACAAUUGUGAUCAGUGCUUCACCAUGGAUAAUAAAUUCAAAUAAAUAAGAAAGAAUGAGAGAAGGAGAGAAAGAAAUAAAGAAGGAAGGAAAGAAAAAAAGAAA
Long non-coding RNA from Protopterus annectens (West African lungfish), 637 nucleotides. RefSeq lists it as uncharacterized. Lineage: Eukaryota; Metazoa; Chordata; Ceratodontiformes; Protopteridae. The transcript has 3 exons. The record is from RefSeq and is a predicted model, not a curated record.